RNAcentral lists this ribosomal RNA (253 nucleotides) under uncultured bacterium. RNAcentral describes it as "partial 16S ribosomal RNA". It matches the Rfam family "Bacterial small subunit ribosomal RNA", at positions 524 to 776 of the family's 1533-position model. The record is from RNAcentral.
UACGUAGGGUCCGAGCGUUGUCCGGAAUUACUGGGCGUAAAGAGCUCGUAGGUGGUUUGUCGCGUUGUUCGUGAAAACUCACAGCUUAACUGUGGGCGUGCGGGCGAUACGGGCAGACUGGAGUACUGCAGGGGAGACUGGAAUUCCUGGUGUAGCGGUGGAAUGCGCAGAUAUCAGGAGGAACACCGGUGGCGAAGGCGGGUCUCUGGGCAGUAACUGACGCUGAGGAGCGAAAGCAUGGGGAGCGAACAGG